Molecule: long non-coding RNA, 869 nt
Organism: Gossypium arboreum
Lineage: Eukaryota; Viridiplantae; Streptophyta; Magnoliopsida; Malvales; Malvaceae
Exons: 3
Source: RefSeq, a predicted model, not a curated record
UUAAAUGAUACUAUAUGUUAUUAUCACUACUUCUGGCAAGGUUAAACAAUUCCUCUCGUUGUUUUAUGAGAUCCUGACUCCUGAUAAUGAUCAUCAAUGGUCUAUUAAAACAGGGUUUAGAGGCUAUUUGAUCCAACUUUGGGAUUAACCAUUUUGCACAUAAUUUUUCAAACGUUUUAAUGGGGGUUCCCUCCCCUACAGUAAAAGGAAAAGGGUAUCAGGUGCCUUCUCUAACAUCACCGCCGUUGGUUGAGCCGAGUUCCAAAUAAAAACAUCUAGAAAGGUUAUGCAUGAAGGAGAAAGAGGGAUUCAAUUGAAAAUUCCUUUGCAGAAAAAGUUGGCUGAGAUUAGAGAAUACUUUGAUACCCUGCUUGUUGAUUCAUACAACGAAGAUCCUGCAAUUACAUUGUUGUGGAACGAAUCUGUAUAUGCGAUUUAAUCAGACUUUCAGAACAGCGGGCUGAUGCUGAGAAAACUAUGCACCCAAAGCUUAUCACCUCAGAUACCGGGCAACAAAUCAGUGAACUGAACUGCAAGGCCGAGGAAGAAAAGGACAAAAAGCGGGCUGAAGUCAGGAAGCACCAAAAGUUUUAAGGUGGGUCAGGUGCUGUUUGUAUUUGAUGAUAAGAGAUCCAUGGUGCAGAGAAGAAUCCAGAAUGCAUGCACAAAUAGACAUAUAUGAGAAAACCUGAUUCCAUGGCCGUGUUUCAUCUGUUUCAUCAGAGAUCUGAUUACAGGAGAAUUUUGGAUGUCUUAGCUUAAUUCAUGUGCAAGAGAUCAGCUGGAUAAUUACAUUAGAAGGUUCUAUAUGCGAAUAAUAAAGAUUUAAAUUGUAAGGUUUGAAUAAAUCUUUUUCAGUUCGUAAAGAA